AGUGAACGCUGGCGGCGUGCCUAAUACAUGCAAGUCGAACGAUGAAGUCCUAGCUUGCUAGGAUGGAUUAGUGGCGCACGGGUGAGUAAUAUAUAGUUAAUCUGCCCUACACAGAGGAACAACAGCUGGAAACGACUGCUAAUACCUCAUACUCCUAUUUGCCAUAAGUUAAAUAGGGAAAGUCUUUUCGGUGUAGGAUGAGACUAUAUCGUAUCAGCUAGUUGGUAAGGUAAUGGCUUACCAAGGCUAUGACGCGUAACUGGUCUGAGAGGAUGAUCAGUCACAUGGGAACGGAGACACGGACCAAACUACUACGGGAGGCAGCAGGAAGGAAUAUUGCGCAAUGGGGGAAACCCUGAAGCAGCAACGCCGCGGGGAGGAUGACACUUGGCGGAGAGUAAACUUCUUUUAUCAGGAAAGAAUAAUGACGGUACAUGAUGAAUAAGCACCGGCUAAAUCCGUG
This 463-nucleotide ribosomal RNA is filed under the name uncultured bacterium. RNAcentral describes it as "partial 16S ribosomal RNA". It matches the Rfam family "Bacterial small subunit ribosomal RNA", at positions 29 to 507 of the family's 1533-position model. The record is from RNAcentral.